GUGCCAGCAGCCGCGGUAAUACGUAGGUGGCAAGCGUUAUCCGGAAUUAUUGGGCGUAAAGCGCGCGCAGGUGGUUUCUUAAGUCUGAUGUGAAAGCCCACGGCUCAACCGUGGAGGGUCAUUGGAAACUGGGAGACUUGAGUGCAGAAGAGGAAAGUGGAAUUCCAUGUGUAGCGGUGAAAUGCGUAGAGAUAUGGAGGAACACCAGUGGCGAAGGCGACUUUCUGGUCUGUAGCUGACACUGAGAGCGCGAAAGUGUGGGGAGCAAACAGGAUUAGAUACCCUGUGUUUCC
RNAcentral lists this ribosomal RNA (293 nucleotides) under uncultured microorganism. RNAcentral describes it as "partial 16S ribosomal RNA". It matches the Rfam family "Bacterial small subunit ribosomal RNA", at positions 505 to 796 of the family's 1533-position model. The record is from RNAcentral.